ACAACUUGGUGGGUGCAGGGAGAGCCACACAGGCACAUCCUAUGACAUGUCAUCCACGCUGCCACUCGACAGGAAGGAAGAUGCACAAGGAUUCUGGCACAAGGCCUCAUAUGUGCUUGAUUCUUCUCUUGACCAAUUUGGCCCAAUCAGAUAAAUGAAUUUUUCUCCUGUGAAUGAAGAUAGAGUCUCCCCUUCCCCUGCUCUAGGGAAGUGAGCAAGGAAGCAAGCAUGCAGCCCCGAUCUUUUCUGGGAGUCAUGAUACGGCCUUGAAGGAGAGCAAGGUUGAGAAUGAAACCACUGCCAAGGACAUCACAGCAGAAAGACAGACAGAAAGAACCUGGGUCCUUGUGGACAGAGUCAUGUCCUAGAUCUAGUCAUGUCCAACAGACAUAGUCCUUAAGGACACUCUGGUUCCUGCUGUGAGAGGGGCUCUGCCUCCCUGUUUGUCAGUUUCUCACUUAGAGGAAGAGCAACCUAACUGAUCAUUUAUCCAUCUCGGCUGAACUAGCCACUGCAUCAAGAGCCCUCCUUCCAAAGAGGCUGGAAAUUUUAAACUCCAACUCAAGGCCUUCAUCGAAGCUGCCUGGGUCCACUGCCACCCCAUUUCCUUCCCCGUCCUCUCCUUCCUAAGUUCACCAGCCAAACCUCUUUCCUUCUCUGCUCCUCAGCCCAUACCCAUCCCUGCCAGGGCUCUGUGGCCUUACUUGUACAAUUUACCCACCGUGGCCUCAGGUACAAGGGUUUAUGACGUCCAUAACAAGUACUUGCUAAUCUCUCAGAAGCCACCGGGUAUAUGGAAUCCUGCAGUUUAUCUGGAUGAUGAAACUAUUUCAUUUUUUAUUCUUCUUAGUUGGCAUCAGUGCCUGAGAAUAGAAUUUGGAUGCGUGCUUUGCCUAAAAGGAAAGAGCUGACAGAGCUUGCAACUGGCAAUGUAUCAGUUCCACCUCAAGGAAAUCAACAGGGAGAAGCUAAUGAAACGGAACAGUUCUCAUAUUAACCAGUUAGCUAUUCAGCUUAGGACAGAUGUGGAAAAUAAGCCCAUAUGAGACAAAUUCAUUAAAGUGAAAUUAUCCAUUCAACACCUUGAUAUCUGAGCAGACUGAUGUUUCAAAAUUAUUAUAAUUAUGAUCAUGGGGAUAAAGAGAGCCAAACUUUCGAAAGAAGACUUGAAAAAAAUUAAAAAUUCUAGCACUACCCUGUGAGAUGGAAAUAAUGAGCUGGUCACAGAUCCCCAGGAUAUCAGCAAUUGCUCUAAAUCCUUCUUGAUGAGGAAUCUGUGACUCUGAACUCAACAUUAAUUCAAAUGCAAAUAAUAUCUCUUCCCCCUGAGAAUCAUUAUUCCUGAUUCAGCAGGCAGUUUAAUGGGAAAUCUGCAGGUGCACUGCAGACUUUGAGCCAGAGAAGUUGUUCCCGCUCCAGAUGAAGCUUUGACUCCUGAACACAUGGAAUCUGACAAUCAGACUCCAGAGAUUCGAAUUCUCUCAGUGCCUCUGAGAUAGUAGACCCUCGGUAAAGCAUAUGGAACUCAGUAGGGCAUAGAUCUCGUACCUGCAGCCUGGAAAAUGUCACAAACCUCUGUCUGCUUCUCUGAAACACACACCCCGUUUUAGUAGCUGUUAAGCACCUCAACCCUUUGCACAGAAGUUCUUAAAUACCACCUGCAGAAGACAGUCAGCCUCCAGCCUUGUCAUCUUGAGGUAACCCACAGAGAAGAAAAGGCUGGAAGCCUCUAGAAUUAUCUUGCUCAGGUUGGACUGUCUGAUACCGGGAAAAUUACAUGGCCAUUCUGUACCUCAGUUUCUCCAUCAUCAAAAUAAGAAAACUAAUAACAUCUGCUUUGUAGGAUUGUGGUAUGGUUUAAGAGCUAUAACAAACUUUUCAUAGGCAAGAUAACAGAAGGGUUAACAGUAUGGAUUCUGAAACCAGGCUUUCUUGGUCCAAAUCUGGGCUUACUUAUUAAUAACCUUGGAAAAACAAACUUUUUUUUUUUAACAUUAGUUACCCCAGUAUAAAAUGGGGGUGAUAAUAUUAACAACCUGAGUUGUUAUAAAAAUUAACAUUUUCAAAUAAUUUAGACCAGUGACUGACUUAUAUACCAAACACUGUGUAAUCACUUACGGCAUAAGCAGUGCUCAGGCCAUAAUGAGAGCUCAGUAAAUGUUCUAUGUUAACAUAAGCAUUGUCAGUAUUUCCAUGAGUAGUCGUAACACCAUAGAAGAAACAGAGAAUCGUAUUUCCAAAGAUAGAAUAGAAAGAGGCAUGGCACUUUCAGUUAGAAAGUACCUCUCAGCAAUUUUUUUUUUUUACCAGGUUUUACAUGUAUAAUAAUGUAAUCUUUUCAGGAUUGUAUAACAAAAUGCUAUAGACUGGCUGGCUUAAACAACAGAAAUUCAUUGGUUCACAGGUCUGGAGACUGGUGGUCCAAGAUCAGGGUGUCAGCAUGGUUAGAUUCUGGUGUAGACUCUCUUCCUGACUUGAAAACUAUGCCUUCUCAUUGUGUCUUCACAUGGCAGAAAGACAGAGAGAGAGCUCAGCCUCUUCCAGUAAAACCAUAGUCUUAUUGGAUUAGAGGCCCAUUCUUAGGACCUCAUUUAAGCUUUUGUAUCUCCUAAAGGGCCCAUCUCCAGAUAUAGUUACAUUGCGGCUUAAGGCUUCAACAUAUUUUGAGGGGGGUAUAAUUCAGUCUAUAGCAAUAUCACAAUAGAAAGGCCGUGUGAUGCUUUGGCAUACCCUGGUGACUCAGGGAUGGCUAACUAGAAUACAACAGGUACCCAAAUGCCAUUCUUACUGAGAAGUCUGGAAACGUAUUUCUGAGAUAAGCAGAAGAGACAUGGUUUAGCAAGGUGGGAAGCUACCAUAUGGCUGUGUGUGACAAGCACGGGUCUAACUAGCCAUGGACACAUGAAGUCCUUCAGCGCUUAACAAUGCCGAGUCCUAUCAUUGAUUGUGUUCCAGAAUCCUACACCCACGCACGUGCGGCAGAUAAGCUGUCCAUACCCAAGAAGUAUAAACACCACAACAGUCCUUGCUUGUCAGUCUGGCAGGGUCACAAAGACCUGCCUGGGAUCAGUGUUUCUUAAAGCAACUGCUAGAAAAGUGACACCUAAUUAUUCCAAGAACAGAGCUGUAAGAGACAUGCUGAUUCAACAAAUGGAGAUGAGUAAACUGAAUUGUAGAGAGCUUAGGUGACUUGCAAGAGACUUCACUGCUGAGCAGGGGGGCCAUCUGUGGCCACCCUCCUGUCACAGGGAAGCCUGCACAUAGAGACCUCCCACAGAGACGAAAUAUGUCUACAAGAAGGGUCACUGCCCUUGCAAAGAAAAUGUGAUCCCAGCAUGGCUGUAGUUGCUGGCAGCAGAAAGGACUUCAUCCAGGACAGCAGAAGUUGUGGCUGAGAGGAGGAGAGGGCCGGAAGCCCUAUAGAUGCCCCAGGCCUACUGAGGCACAGGACGAGAAGGGAGGAGGCUGCUGUGCUUUCUGUAUACCUUGUUCUCUGCCCAGAAGGGUCAGCACAGCCAGGCAGCCCCCAAAUGCAGUGGAGGGUAAAGAAAGGAGGACCCCCUUUCUAGAGAAGACUCAGAAGGCUCCUGAGAAAAGGGAAAGGGCAACCCUUUCCCUUUCACUUCCAGUGGGAGGGAGGGAGGAAGGGUAUAGAAUCAAAAUGUACAGCACUUGCAAUAGUUUGCUCAUUUCUGAAAAAAAAUCGGGGUAGAUUGGGUGCCCAAUGCACCAUAGCAUUAUGUGUGUUUGUAAACGCACGCGGGGCUGUGCACGGGAGUAGGGGGCCUAGAGAGAAAAGUAAAAGGGAAAAGAAGGAAAGUAGCAGAGACAGGUUUGCUCAUAAAGUACAUAAAUAAGAAGACCUUGGUUUCCCACAAACGGCCCCAUCUUGGUAGCAGAAUGGGACAAAGUGUCACACACCCACAGCGAGUUGUAAAUAGAAGGGAAAGGAAGGACAACAUUCAUAUGCAUUGGGUGUAUAAUAAGAAUACAUGUGUGACCUACAUAUGUCAGUUUAAUUAGGACAAGUGUCCAUCCCUAGCAAAGAUUGAUUACUCAUUGUGACCUUGUUUUCGAAAGGAUAAUGAGAGCAGAUGAGACUUUUGCUUUAACAAACUUACUUGGCCAAAAUUUUAAAAGCUGGCAAUUCUAUCUGCUAUCAAUCCUGAUUGAUUUGUUUUGUUUUGUUUUUCUCAACUUUACUUGUCUCUGAAAUUGUCUGAAAUUGAAAUGUCUAGGAGCUGUAACCUAUGACAUGGAAGUGCUAUAUAAUUUCUUUUCAAAUGUCAAGCAUCUUUAACUAACGUGGAUUUUUGUUAAGUACUUGUUUGACAUCCAAUGUCAGAUGGGUUACCAGGAAAGCUGACGUGUAGAAGGAUGUCCUGUGUAUUGGGCAAUGUCCCAGGCUCUGUCUUUUAAUUCGGGUCAUAAAACUUACACAUCUUUGUAUGGUAGGUAUGACUUCACCCAAUAUUCUUUCAAAAGAGAAACAGAAGCUUUAUACCUUGCACAAAACCACACGGUGGUGAAGUCAGAAUACAAGCUGAGGGCCGGUCUGACUCAGAAGCCCACAGUGCUUCCUAUGCUAUCUCCUCAGUUACCGACGAGAAGUUCACAGCACUGGAACAGAAAAAGACCUUGAUGUUGACUCCACCAGCCUCUAAUUUUGCAGAGACUAGACUAUAGCAGAGGUUAGGUUACUUGUCUACGGCUUACUCAGUAAAUUUGGUGAUGGAGCUAAAUUCAUCACCAGAUUUGGCUGCCAGUCAGUCGCUAAACUGCUUGCCUGGUGUUCUCUCCACCCUCACCCCCACCCCUACCCCAGCUGUGCCCCAGGCACCAUCCACAGAUGAAAAGGGACAGCCAUCCUCAGGACCUUCCAGACCUGAGCAAGCUGGGAACAGCUGAUGCCUCCCCAACUUCCUGACACAACUCCAGGGCUGUGGAGGAGGCCCCAUCCCACAGAGCUACUGCAAGAAGAAGAUGCUGGGAGCUGAGCUGCUCCCUGGCAAUCACCUCCAGGCCAGCUCAAGCCAUGCUAAGGGAUGGGGGUCAUGGGGACAAAAGAGCAUUGUGUGUGAGAGAGGGAGCAGGGAGGGAGCGUGGGGAGGAAUGCACUGGCAAUUUCUUCCUCUCCCAAAGCCUGCCUCGCCCAGCUGUCUCAUGGCAAAGGAAGGACCCUCCCUGGAGGGGCUGGAGGCCCACCAUGGAUGCCUGGAGACUGGAGCUGAUUGACUGAAUUACUAGAUUUCCUCCAAAGGAUAGAGGGCUUCAUUUGGCCGGCAUUGUGUCACUUGCUACAAUGGCCCCUGGGUAUAUAGACGCUGCCUUAUGCCAUUCCCUUUAAUUCCCUUCAAAUAGGGACAUUUAAAAAGAGUCCAAUAACAUUUUUCUGAAAGGAACCUCCAUCUCCUUUUUUUUUUAAAGAAGAACAGAAUCAUUUGUCUCCAAAAGGGGGCCCUCCAAAAGAAGCUGGAGGAGCAGAAACCAUUUUAAUAGCAUCUUCUCUUUGCUGAAUUGUGUCUUCAUUUUACACUGUGGCUUUAUUCUCUGCCCCUUUGACACCGCCAGCUGCCUUUCACGUUCCAGCUCAGAAACAGGCUGGCUUCAGGCUGUAACAGGCACCAGCUUCCAAAGCCCUUUCUCCUGAUGACUCACGUUAGCUUGUGUGAGCCUGUGAGCCUGUGAGCCCCACACCACAGCUCCAGACCUUUGUUCCUUCGCAAAGUGCAUUUAAGCUCCAAGUACUAAAACAGUGUCUACCUAAGUCUCCUGCCUUACAAUGGAGUGAAAUAAUGAAUGACACAGUGGAAUGUCUGGUUCCUAUCUUGCUCAAGUUCAUCCUGUUACCAACUCAGCAGCUGGAGGAAGUGACAUCACACGCCCAAGCUCGGCUUUGAAGCUGGAGGUGCAUACCAAGACACUGUAUGUGGUACUGCACUCUGGCCAGGAAGUAUCACCCUUGGACCUCAUCUGUUAAACUAUUUAAAAAAAAAAAAAAAAAGAGGCUGGGACAUCAGUUUCUUAACUAGAAUUUCAAAUCCUAUUGUUCUAAUGGUGAAAAAAGGCUUUUGUGAAUUUUGCUCUUAGCCUGGAAGGUUAUCAAAGGAGUAGAGAUGAGUUCCUACAAACGUCUUGAAAAUUAAAUUAUUUUUUACAAAACAUAAAUAUAUGUGGGGCUAGGAGGGGGUCAUGCUCCACUGAGCAGGCUCCCAUGUAACCACUGAAGCAGAUCCACUGAAUGCUAGUCACCAGGGCUUCUUUGCCCAAGUAUUCCAAGUCCCGGUCUGUCUGGGGCCGCUUUUCUACUCCUAAGUAAAA
This is a long non-coding RNA of Cebus imitator (Panamanian white-faced capuchin), 6321 nucleotides long. RefSeq lists it as uncharacterized. The transcript is spliced from 4 exons. The record is from RefSeq and is a predicted model, not a curated record. NCBI's taxonomy places the organism in Eukaryota, Metazoa, Chordata, Mammalia, Primates, Cebidae.